RNAcentral lists this ribosomal RNA (484 nucleotides) under uncultured bacterium. RNAcentral's name for it is "partial 16S ribosomal RNA". It matches the Rfam family "Bacterial small subunit ribosomal RNA", at positions 30 to 507 of the family's 1533-position model. The record is from RNAcentral.
AUUGAACGCUGGCGGCAUGCCUUACACAUGCAAGUCGAACGGCAGCGCGGACUUCGGUCUGGCGGCGAGUGGCGAACGGGUGAGUAAUACAUCGGAACGUACCCUGUUGUGGGGGAUAACUAGUCGAAAGAUUAGCUAAUACCGCAUACGACCUGAGGGUGAAAGUGGGGGACCGCAAGGCCUCACGCAGCAGGAGCGGCCGAUGUCUGAUUAGCUAGUUGGUGGGGUAAAGGCCCACCAAGGCGACGAUCAGUAGCUAGUCUGAGGGGACGAUCAGCCACACUGGGACUUAGACACGGCCCAGACUCCUACGGGAGGCAGCAGUGGGGAAUUUUGGACAAUGGGGGCAACCCUGAUCCAGCAAUGCCGCGUGUGUGAAGAAGGCCUUCGGGUUGUAAAGCACUUUUGUCCGGAAAGAAAUCGCGCUGGUUAAUACCUGGCGUGGAUGACGGUACCGGAAGAAUAAGCACCGGCUAACUACGUG